UACAGAGGGUGCGAGCGUUGUUCGGAAUUAUUGGGCGUAAAGGGCGCGUAGGCGGUGCCACAAGUCACCUGUGAAAUCCCCGGGCUUAACUCGGGGCCUGCAGGCGAAACUGUGGUGCUGGAGUAUGGGAGAGGUGCGUGGAAUUCCCGGUGUAGCGGUGAAAUGCGCAGAUAUCGGGAGGAACACCUGUGGCGAAGGCGGCCUUCUGGACAGUGACUGACGCUGAGACGCGAAAGCGUGGGGAGCAAACAGG
Molecule: ribosomal RNA, 253 nt
Filed under: uncultured bacterium
Lineage: Bacteria
Description: partial 16S ribosomal RNA
Rfam family: Bacterial small subunit ribosomal RNA
Source: RNAcentral